GAUGAACGCUGGCGGCGUGCCUAAUACAUGCAAGUCGAGCGAACGGACGAGAAGCUUGCUUCUCUGAUGUUAGCGGCGGACGGGUGAGUAACACGUGGAUAACCUACCUAUAAGACUGGGAUAACUUCGGGAAACCGGAGCUAAUACCGGAUAAUAUUUUGAACCGCAUGGUUCAAAAGUGAAAGACGGUCUUGCUGUCACUUAUAGAUGGAUCCGCGCUGCAUUAGCUAGUUGGUAAGGUAACGGCUUACCAAGGCAACGAUGCAUAGCCGACCUGAGAGGGUGAUCGGCCACACUGGAACUGAGACACGGUCCAGACUCCUACGGGAGGCAAAAGUAGGGAAUCUUCCGCAAUGGGCGAAAGCCUGACGGAGCAACGCCGCGUGAGUGAUGAAGGUCUUCGGAUCGUAAAACUCUGUUAUUAGGGAAGAACAUAUGUGUAAGUAACUGUGCACAUCUUGACGGUACCUAAUCAGAAAGCCACGGCUAACUACGUGCCAGCAGCCGCGGUAAUACGUAGGUGGCAAGCGUUAUCCGGAAUUAUUGGGCGUAAAGCGCGCGUAGGCGGUUUUUUAAGUCUGAUGUGAAAGCCCACGGCUCAACCGUGGAGGGUCAUUGGAAACUGGAAAACUUGAGUGCAGAAGAGGAAAGUGGAAUUCCAUGUGUAGCGGUGAAAUGCGCAGAGAUAUGGAGGAACACCAGUGGCGAAGGCGACUUUCUGGUCUGUAACUGACGCUGAUGUGCGAAAGCGUGGGGAUCAAACAGGAUUAGAUACCCUGGUAGUCCACGCCGUAAACGAUGAGUGCUAAGUGUUAGGGGGUUUCCGCCCCUUAGUGCUGCAGCUAACGCAUUAAGCACUCCGCCUGGGGAGUACGACCGCAAGGUUGAAACUCAAAGGAAUUGACGGGGACCCGCACAAGCGGUGGAGCAUGUGGUUUAAUUCGAAGCAACGCGAAGAACCUUACCAAAUCUUGACAUCCUUUGACAACUCUAGAGAUAGAGCCUUCCCCUUCGGGGGACAAAGUGACAGGUGGUGCAUGGUUGUCGUCAGCUCGUGUCGUGAGAUGUUGGGUUAAGUCCCGCAACGAGCGCAACCCUUAAGCUUAGUUGCCAUCAUUAAGUUGGGCACUCUAAGAUGACUGCCGGUGACAAACCGGAGGAAGGUGGGGAUGACGUCAAAUCAUCAUGCCCCUUAUGAUUUGGGCUACACACGUGCUACAAUGGACAAUACAAAGGGCAGCGAAACCGCGAGGUCAAGCAAAUCCCAUAAAGUUGUUCUCAGUUCGGAUUGUAGUCUGCAACUCGACUACAUGAAGCUGGAAUCGCUAGUAAUCGUAGAUCAGCAUGCUACGGUGAAUACGUUCCCGGGUCU
This 1372-nucleotide ribosomal RNA is filed under the name uncultured bacterium. Its description in RNAcentral is "bacterial SSU rRNA". It matches the Rfam family "Bacterial small subunit ribosomal RNA", at positions 28 to 1381 of the family's 1533-position model. The record is from RNAcentral.